GACGAACGCUGGCGGCGUGCUUAACACAUGCAAGUCGAACGGAAAGGCCCUGCUUUUGUGGGGUGCUCGAGUGGCGAACGGGUGAGUAACACGUGAGUAACCUGCCCUUGACUUUGGGAUAACUUCAGGAAACUGGGGCUAAUACCGGAUAGGAGCUCCUGCUGCAUGGUGGGGGUUGGAAAGUUUCGGCGGUUGGGGAUGGACUCGCGGCUUAUCCGCUUGUUGGUGGGGUUGUGGCUUACCAAGGCUUUGACGGGUAGCCGGCCUGAGAGGGUGACCGGCCGCCCUGGGACUGAGAGGCGGCCCCGACUCCUACGGGAGGCAGCAGUGGGGAAUACUGCACCAUGGGCGGCAGGCGGAUGCAGCAACCCCGCGGGCUGGAUGGCGGUCUUCUGGUUGUAAACCGCUUUCGCCUGUGACGAAGCGUGAGUGACGGUAAUGGGUAAAGAAGCACCGGCUAACUACGUG
Molecule: ribosomal RNA, 468 nt
Filed under: uncultured bacterium
Lineage: Bacteria
Description: partial 16S ribosomal RNA
Rfam family: Bacterial small subunit ribosomal RNA
Source: RNAcentral